Molecule: long non-coding RNA, 357 nt
Organism: Saccostrea cuccullata (small rock oyster)
Lineage: Eukaryota; Metazoa; Mollusca; Bivalvia; Ostreida; Ostreidae
Exons: 3
Source: RefSeq, a predicted model, not a curated record
CAGAGACAGCUUCCUAUCUAUAUUACCACAAAACAUUCCAAGUGGCAAGCUACAUAACUUCUUGAUAAAACCUGGAGCGAGCUACAUGUACAGAGCACCAUACGAUUAUGGGUCAAUCAUGCACUAUCCUGAAUGGGCUUUUGCAAAGUCACGGGGGUUGAAAACGAUUGUCGCAAAACGAAGAGAUUACACACGGACAAUGGGGCAAAGAAUUGGUUUAUCAUUUAAUGACAUCAAAGCUAUCAACUACCACUAUUGUCAAGGAAAAUGCUCUGGAGGAUUAACAUGGUCCAAGUGUCAGAAUGGUGGUUAUAGGAAUCCAAGGAAUUGUAAAAGCUGCAAGUGCCCGGAUGGUUG